GGGACCAAAGACAUACAAACAGUGCACACAAUGUCAUCAAACAAAAUAAAGAACAGGACCACAAAAAAGGCAACAAAACACACUAGGAGACCAAAACACAACACACUAAGGGGACAAGAAGCCAACAUACUUCCAUGGGGGACCACAACAACAUAAAAUAACUCAUAAAAAAUGCACCUUUCACCUUUUCGCUUCGAAGGAAGACGACGCUAACGAACCGUAUAUGCUUCCCCACCGUAAUCACUAACAAACCCUUC
RNAcentral lists this long non-coding RNA (257 nucleotides) under Vigna radiata. Its description in RNAcentral is "long non-coding RNA (VRAD_LNC004994)". Lineage: Eukaryota; Viridiplantae; Streptophyta; Magnoliopsida; Fabales; Fabaceae. The record is from RNAcentral.